AACACAUGCAAGUCGAACGGAGUUAGCAAGAAGUUACUUUGAGCUAACUUAGUGGCGGACGGGUGAGUAACACGUGGGUAACCUGCCUUUCAGUGGGGAAUAACGGCUGGAAACGGUCGCCUAAUACCGCAUAAUGUCUUGGAGUCGCAUGACCCUGAGACCAAAGAUUUAUCGCUGAAAGAUGGACUCGCGCCCGAUUAGCUAGUUGGUGAGGUAAUGGCUCACCAAGGCGACGAUCGGUAGCCGGACUGAGAGGUUGAACGGCCACAUUGGGACUGAGACACGGCCCAGACUCCUACGGGAGGCAGCAGUGGGGGAUAUUGCACAAUGGGGGAAACCCUGAUGCAGCCGAUGCCGCGUGUAGGAAGACGGUCCUCUGGAUUGUAAACUACUGUCUUCAGGGACGAUAAUGACGGUACCUGAGGAGGAAGCUCCGGCUAACUACGUGCCAGCCGCUGC
Molecule: ribosomal RNA, 459 nt
Filed under: uncultured bacterium
Lineage: Bacteria
Description: bacterial SSU rRNA
Rfam family: Bacterial small subunit ribosomal RNA
Source: RNAcentral